This 675-nucleotide ribosomal RNA is filed under the name uncultured Lachnospiraceae bacterium. RNAcentral's name for it is "bacterial SSU rRNA". It matches the Rfam family "Bacterial small subunit ribosomal RNA", at positions 69 to 756 of the family's 1533-position model. Lineage: Bacteria; Bacillati; Bacillota; Clostridia; Lachnospirales; Lachnospiraceae. The record is from RNAcentral.
GGAUCUCUUCGGAUUGAAACUUAUUUGACUGAGCGGCGGACGGGUGAGUAACGCGUGGGUAACCUGCCUCAUACAGGGGGAUAACAGUUAGAAAUGGCUGCUAAUACCGCAUAAGCGCACAGGACCGCAUGGUCUGGUGUGAAAAAUUCCGGUGGUAUGAGAUGGACCCGCGUCUGAUUAGCUAGUUGGAGGGGUAACGGCCCACCAAGGCGACGAUCAGUAGCCGGCCUGAGAGGGUGAACGGCCACAUUGGGACUGAGACACGGCCCAGACUCCUACGGGAGGCAGCAGUGGGGAAUAUUGCACAAUGGGGGAAACCCUGAUGCAGCGACGCCGCGUGAAGGAAGAAGUAUCUCGGUAUGUAAACUUCUAUCAGCAGGGAAGAAAAUGACGGUACCUGACUAAGAAGCCCCGGCUAACUACGUGCCAGCAGCCGCGGUAAUACGUAGGGGGCAAGCGUUAUCCGGAUUUACUGGGUGUAAAGGGAGCGUAGACGGAAGAGCAAGUCUGAUGUGAAAGGCUGGGGCUUAACCCCAGGACUGCAUUGGAAACUGUUUUUCUAGAGUGCCGGAGAGGUAAGCGGAAUUCCUAGUGUAGCGGUGAAAUGCGUAGAUAUUAGGAGGAACACCAGUGGCGAAGGCGGCUUACUGGACGGUAACUGACGUUGAGGCUCGA